This is a long non-coding RNA of Armigeres subalbatus, 1126 nucleotides long. RefSeq lists it as uncharacterized. NCBI's taxonomy places the organism in Eukaryota, Metazoa, Arthropoda, Insecta, Diptera, Culicidae. The transcript is spliced from 2 exons. The record is from RefSeq and is a predicted model, not a curated record.
CGAAAUAGGACCAAAAGAAAGUUAAAAAAAAAGUCAGGUAAAUAGACCGUCGAGGGUGAGUCAGGUCUUCUUUCUGUCUGAACUACAAAGACAGUAGUAGUGCGCGCCGUAAAGUUAAAUUAAAAUUAAAUUACAAAAUAAAAUUUGCAUGCUUAUGCAGUGAACUGGUGCUCUCUUAAGGAUAAAUAGCGUGCUAUUGUGAAAGUAGUGUAAAACCUUAAAUCUAUAGUACGGUUAGUUGAAGAAAAUAGUACGGAGUGAUUUUAUUGUAAACUAUUGUAUCUUUUGUUAGCAUAGUGAUUACAACAAUAGCACCUCUAAGAAAGUUCAACUUCAAUAGGUGUGAAUUAUUAGAAGAAAAGGCCCGAGUCUGCUUCCGGGCCUUUUCUUUUUCUUUCUUUUCGAGUCCUCGGGCAAGACCCGACGGAUAUUAUACUCCGCAGUGCCAUCCAUCAAGCCGGAUUAAAUCCAGUGGCGGGUAUAGCGCCAGUUCGGAGGUAAGGCAAGGUGAAUACGGGACUGGAAUCGAUUGGCAACCGCCAAUCCAAGCCGACAUCGCGCCCACCUGCUCGUAUAGUCGAUCACCUCGAUAUACAUUGCUGGGGCAAUCGCCGUCACCAUCCGCCAUCGUGCCCAUUGUGGUUGCAGGCCCUCCCAAACGAAGAUCCUUUGGCGACCGCCGACACCAUCCGCCAUCGAGCCAAUUUAGGUCGCAGGCCUACAUACCCCGACGAAAAGGCAACCAACCAUUUCAAUUCCCGGCCACCAUCGCGCAGAUUGGAUCGUAGCCGCAAGCCUACCGUCGCCGAGCAAUCGGCCACCUCCAGCGGCCGCCACCACGGUAAAGUUUCGUGUCUACCCAUCGCCACCAAGCCAACCACAAACUUCCGAGAAGGUCCGAAGCACUCCCGGUACCUCAUUAGAAACAUCCAAGCCCGAAAGCAGCAUGAUCACGCCGGAUUGCGACCGGAAAACCUCGUCAUCGUCAGCAUCAUCGCCGCCAUCAAUGCUAGCCAACGAGAUCAUCGCCGUCGACCACCAUCUGCAGUAAAAAGCGCAAGUACACCAUUGUCUCUCCAUUGAAAAUGCCCAAGGGGCGAAUAAAUUAAUAAUGUUAAGAUGAAAA